UUUUUAGUGAUUUAGAUGUUUUUUCAUUAAUAAAAAGUUUUUUUGUUUAUCAUACCAUUUUUUUUAAUUAAAAUUGUAUGUCCUUUUUGGUAAUUUAUUAAUAUUAAAAGUGUUUUUAUGUUUAUACAAUAUAUUAUCAAAAACACUUUAGAAUCAUUUUUUCUGAUUAUCAUAAAAGUGUUUUUCACAGAAACACUAUAGCAGAAAACACUUCAAAUAAAAACACUUUCACUAGAAUCACUAUCAAACGGGCUCGUAGUAGUUGAAAAUGAAGGAGGGGAAGGAGCAGAUGAGAUUGUUUUCUGCAAAUUACAACACAUGGUACUUCUGUGUUUGCCAAACCUCACAAGCUUCAGUUCAGGUGGUUCUAUAUUCUCAUUCCCAUCCUUGGAGCAUAUGGUGGUGGAAGAAUGCCCCAAGAUGAAAAUUUUCUCUUCAGGCCCCAUAACUACACCAAGGCUAGAAAGAGUAGAAGUGGCAGAUGAUGAGUGGCACUGGCAGGAUGAUCUAAAUACCACCAUCCAUAAUUUGUUUAUAAGGACGCAUGGUAACGUUGAAGUUGAAGUUGAGAUUCUGGAAUUGGGAGCUGGUUCAGCAUUAUGAUCACACCUUGUUUAGUUCUUGGGAUGUCACUGUGCUCUUAAAGCUUGCCUUAUGGCAUUGAGUGGCUGGAUUUCUAACCAUAUUAAUGCAGUAUGUAUCACUCUAUCUCAGGCUAUUUGUUUAUAUUUGAAGUUCAUGUAGACUUGUUGGAUGGUAUGAAAUUUAGACAUCCUACAUUGUUCAU
Long non-coding RNA from Vitis vinifera (wine grape), 787 nucleotides. RefSeq lists it as uncharacterized. The transcript is spliced from 2 exons. NCBI's taxonomy places the organism in Eukaryota, Viridiplantae, Streptophyta, Magnoliopsida, Vitales, Vitaceae. The record is from RefSeq and is a predicted model, not a curated record.